UCUACGGGUGGCUGCAGUGGGGAAUAUUGGACAAUGGGCGAAAGCCUGAUCCAGCCAUGCCGCGUGUGUGAAGAAGGCCUUCGGGUUGUAAAGCACUUUCAGUGGGGAAGAAAGCCUUGGGGCUAAUACCCUCGAGGAAGGACAUCACCCACAGAAGAAGCACCGGCUAACUCCGUGCCAGCAGCCGCGGUAAUACGGAGGGUGCGAGCGUUAAUCGGAAUUACUGGGCGUAAAGCGCGCGUAGGCGGUCUGAUAAGCCGGUUGUGAAAGCCCCGGGCUCAACCUGGGAACGGCAUCCGGAACUGUCAGGCUAGAGUGCAGGAGAGGAAGGUAGAAUUCCCGGUGUAGCGGUGAAAUGCGUAGAGAUCGGGAGGAAUACCAGUGGCGAAGGCGGCCUUCUGGACUGACACUGACGCUGAGGUGCGAAAGCGUGGGUAGCAAACAGGAUUAGAUACCCGUGUAGUC
RNAcentral lists this ribosomal RNA (465 nucleotides) under Vreelandella stevensii. RNAcentral describes it as "partial 16S ribosomal RNA". It matches the Rfam family "Bacterial small subunit ribosomal RNA", at positions 338 to 795 of the family's 1533-position model. The record is from RNAcentral. Lineage: Bacteria; Pseudomonadati; Pseudomonadota; Gammaproteobacteria; Oceanospirillales; Halomonadaceae.